AUACGGAGGGUGCAAGCGUUAAUCGGAAUUACUGGGCGUAAAGCGCGCGUAGGCGGUUUGAUAAGUCGGAUGUGAAAUCCCCGGGCUCAACCUGGGAAUUGCAUUCGAUACUGUCAGGCUAGAGUGUGGUAGAGGGAAGUGGAAUUUCCGGUGUAGCGGUGAAAUGCGUAGAUAUCGGAAGGAACACCAGUGGCGAAGGCGGCUUCCUGGUCCAACACUGACGCUGAGGUGCGAAAGCGUGGGGAGCAAACAGGAUUAGAAACCCUAGUAGUCC
Molecule: ribosomal RNA, 274 nt
Filed under: uncultured bacterium
Lineage: Bacteria
Description: partial 16S ribosomal RNA
Rfam family: Bacterial small subunit ribosomal RNA
Source: RNAcentral